GGAAAUCUUACCGGGUCCGGACACACUGAGGAUUGACAGGCAAUAUUAAUACGUGUUCGCACGUAUUAUGUUAAAUAUGCUAGUCCUUUCAUGAUUAUGUGAUAGGUGGUGCAUGGCCGUUCUUAGUUCGUGGAGUGAUCUGUCUGCUUAAUUGCGUUUCACUAAGGGCCUAUAAAUUUACGUGUGUUGCGGCACUUUGACCCCUUUCUUCGGAAAGCGCGUGUCUUAGUUUGCUUUGCUCACACAAUUAGGUCCUGAAAGCAACGAACGUGACCGCAACCUCUUGUUGCCUUUAUACCAAACAUGUUUGUCAUUUUUAUGGCAUUCAUGAAAAAAGGCUUUUUAAACUAGAGGGACCGCUGUUACUUUCUUAAACCAGAGGAAGGUUGCGGCAAUAACAGGUCUGUGAUGCCCUUAGAUGUUCCGGGCUGCACACGUGCUACAAUGAUUAUUGCAGUGAGCAUCUCAUUUUUACACACCGCAUGCGCGAGUCCAUUUAUUCACUUCGGUGCUUUAAAUGUGUAUUUCUGCGCGCGGUAAAGCCUGCUUCGAAAGUAAGUGGGUAAUCAAUUAGAAGUAAUGAUUUCCUUUUUAGCACACAUAUAUACGGCGUCUAUACCCGGGUUACCUUGUUGUAACUUUUGUGUGUAUAGAUGUUUUUUCCGUAUGUGCGAUUGUCAAUUCAUGGUGGGGACAGACCAUUGUUAAUUGUUGGUCUCGGUCUUAACUAGGAAUGCCUUGUACGGGUCUUUGGUUCAACAAACCACCCGGAAUACGUCCCUGCCCUUUGUACACACCGCCCGUCGCUCUUACCGAUGGACUUCUCUGUGAGUUUGAGGGACUGGGAACGCAGAAUUUAUUCUGCACACCUAUGGAAACUUAAACGAACAGUGUGGUCUAAAGGAAAGAGAAGUCGUAACAAGGCAUCGGUAGGUGAACCUGC
This 943-nucleotide ribosomal RNA is filed under the name Cibicides pachyderma x Cibicides kullenbergi. RNAcentral's name for it is "SSU rRNA". It matches the Rfam family "Eukaryotic small subunit ribosomal RNA", at positions 1208 to 1818 of the family's 1831-position model. Lineage: Eukaryota; Foraminifera; Rotaliida; Cibicididae. The record is from RNAcentral.